RNAcentral lists this long non-coding RNA (575 nucleotides) under Ananas comosus (pineapple). Its description in RNAcentral is "long non-coding RNA (ACOM_LNC039006)". Lineage: Eukaryota; Viridiplantae; Streptophyta; Magnoliopsida; Poales; Bromeliaceae. The record is from RNAcentral.
UUUCUUAAAAUGGAAUGUUGGUGUUUUUGUUGAAAAAAUAUUAGUGACCAUGUAUUAGAAUGAUUAAACGAGAUUUGAAUACUUUAACUAUUCUGGAAAGAUUCUUAGUUUGAUAUAUUUUGUUUGUUUGGAUUUUAAAGAUACUUCGAAUUAGAAAUAUAUUUUGGUUUGUUUGUUAAUUUAUGUAUGAUGCUUGGUGGUAAUUUGAAUUGUGAAAUGUAAAAAAUUGUCAUAUAAAUAGUGGAUGGAUAUUGCUAAUAGAUUGAAUGUUGAAACUGCGACCAAACCGUUCGUCGCUAAUAUAUGAUUGCUGGUAUAUAUUGAUAGAUUAAUUUGCGACCAUAUUAUUGGUCGCAAAAUAUUUGUUUAAUUAAUUACUUGUUAUGAAAUUUGCGACAAAUUAAUCUCGUCGCUAUACUAUCAUAAAAUAAUAAAAUAAAAUUAUUAAAAAAAUAAUGACUUUUAGCGACGACUAGAUGUUGUUGCAAUUAGGUUAUAUUUAGCAACGAAAAAUAUUAUCUAGAUGUAUGUUUAGCAACAAAUUACGGGGUCACUAGCGACCAAUUAUUGUGUCG